This 303-nucleotide unclassified non-coding RNA is filed under the name Hevea brasiliensis (rubber tree). The record is from RNAcentral. Lineage: Eukaryota; Viridiplantae; Streptophyta; Magnoliopsida; Malpighiales; Euphorbiaceae.
GACAAUUUUGAAAUAUCAGCAAUCCCAGAUUGCUAAUCCUCCUACUCGUGCACUUGGCCCUGGUGCUGGACCAAGCUCUGGCGUGCCCCCUACUGGUGCUAAUGUUGACAGGCAACCAGGUUGCUCCACAGCUUUCCAUUUCAGGCUUUUGUACAAGUUUUAUAUUCUUGUAUCUACUCGCAUGGAGAGAUUCAUAAUGUGUAUGAUUUUUGCACUAAAUCACAGGUGGGGAAGAUGGUCGACCUGGUUGGUCUUCAACAGAUCCCUCCCGAAGGAGACACUCUGGACCAAUUACAAGUUCUG